GACGAACGACUGGCGGCGUGCCUAAUACAUGCAAGUCGAGCGAACCACUUCGGUGGUUAGCGGCGGACGGGUGAGUAACACGUGGGCAACCUGCCUGUAAGACUGGGAUAACACCGGGAAACCGGUGCUAAUACCGGAUAAUCCCUUUCCUCACAUGAGGAAAAGCUGAAAGUCGGUUUCGGCUGACACUUACAGAUGGGCCCGCGGCGCAUUAGCUAGUUGGUGAGGUAACGGCUCACCAAGGCGACGAUGCGUAGCCGACCUGAGAGGGUGAUCGGCCACACUGGGACUGAGACACGGCCCAG
Molecule: ribosomal RNA, 305 nt
Filed under: uncultured bacterium
Lineage: Bacteria
Description: bacterial SSU rRNA
Rfam family: Bacterial small subunit ribosomal RNA
Source: RNAcentral